GUUUCAGGUGAAUGGUGUUUUACCUCUGUUGCCCCUGACUUUCCCCGUUCUCUGGGUUCUGGUCUGCCUGUUCGGAGAGGCCAGUGUUCUCUUACAGAUGGGCACACAGCCAGUGGAGUGCUGGGAAAUGUGGAAGCCGACCUGCAAGAAAUGUUCCUUAGUGUUUUGGGGUCAAACGUUGACACUACUUCCAGUCUGCUGCACGGUCUGAGAUCUGUGACUGCUUCUCUCCACCUCCGCGAAUUAGCCUUUCGAGCAGCAGAUGAGUGUGGUUGCCUACACCCUGCCCUCCAUCUCCUGCCCUGGAGACCCGGGGAUUAUUGCUCCACCUUCUGUGUCAAUGAGACGUCUUCCUUUCCCACAUCUCAAUGCACUGCUGGUCCAUCACACUCACACUGGAGAGCACACACACACGUACUAAACAUACUUGUGUUUGACCUGUGGAACUGCAACAUGUACAAGCCAACAAUUACUAUAUAGAGAACAGGAUGUUAGAUUAUCAUGCAUAGAAUAUCAUGCAUUGUACGUUGUUUGCAUUUGCCUUUAUAUUUAUUACAGUUCGAUAUUAAGCAGUUCAUAAGUCAUGAACUUAUUUCUGUUAAUAGUCAGGGAUACUCUUUUAAAGUUUAUUUGGUAUUCAUUCAGUGUACAUAUCUAGUAUUUUAUUUAGAGGUCACAAUUUACAACAAGGUUUAAUUGGUUCAUGUUAAAUAGUUAAUAUAUUUCUAACAAGAAUGAACAAAACUUGUACAGCAUUCAUUAAUCUGAGCCACAUGAGUUUUGCUAGCUGGGUAGGGCUACAUUUUCAGUAUGAGCCUGUCUUGCAAUUGAGCACCUUUAGCUUAGCUUAAUUUAGCAUAGCAUAGCAUAGCAUAAUUCCUGUAUAUUGAGUUUAGGUGAGAUUCAAUGUCAUUCGUGUCCCAAGGAAAUGUUCUCAUAUGGCUCAGCUGACAUAAUAUUAGGGGCACGCACUGAAUUCUGAGAUGGAGAAGAUAUUCAGCCUCUCACAGACUCUGACAGGUCUCUUUUUCCUGAAAUGCAUGUGUGUGAGUAUUGGAGCACUUGUGACUUGCUGUGAGCACAGCUCUUUCAGCGCUGUUCCCCUCUGAACGCUCUUAUCUAGAAUACAUUGACUGCUGGCACGUUCCCUUGGAGCAUCCAGGGUUAAGUGGUUUGCUCAAGGACACAGAGGCAUAAGGAAGUCCUGCUAAAUUUUUUGCUAUUAAAACACUUCUUUGGGCAGUCUGAAUCAUCAGCUUUCAGAAAACAAGCCUAAAUCUUAGACCUCAAAGGUACAUUCACACUGACAGCCAUUAAAAGCCUGCAGUUCACCAAGUCAGUGCCAGCAGGGCUUUCUAUUUGAAUGCAGUUCACUGCUUGUUGCAUUGCAUCACUGCUCAUUUACAUAAAGCUGCUUUAUUGUAGUAUUGCUCACAUUUGGAUUUGCAACCUCUUUGUUAGAUGAAAAGAAACAAAUGUAAAUAAAAAAAUAAUUCUUAAUAUCUAAUACUAUGUUUUAAUUUAAUAAAAAUGUUAUAUUUAAUUCAUGUAUGUAAAGAGUCGGCGACAAGAGAGGUAAGUAUCCACAUGCAGCUUUAUUAAACAGAUCCCAGGUAGGGAUGGCUGACGUGAAACUGACAUUUCGACACAGUGUUUUGAAACACUGCACCGAAGCAUAAUCUGAAAUACGCAGGUCACGUGACCAAAGUGUUUAGAAAACUAAAGCAUACAAAUAACUCAAAGUGUAGUCAGAAAAGCAGGCGAAUGGUCAGGACAAGCAGCAAAACAACACAGAACAAUAAACAAAGCAAAGGAGAAAAACCACGAAAGGCAGGACAAGGAAACGCUCUGAAAAGGUCUCUACAGAUAAACAAGACUCAGAAAUGUGUGUGUGAGUGAGGCGUAUUUAUAGUCCUGCUUAUAAGUCAUCACAAGCUUCAGCUGUGUGUUUGCAAUCCCAGUUGUGAGAGCAACAAUAAAAACUUGACUUCAAGUUGAUCAUUUGGAAAAGUGAAGGUCGAUUUUUCCAAUGAAUCAUCUGUUGAACUGCAUCCCCAUCAUCACACAUACUGUCACAAUCAGACCCCUUCCUGUGUUUGUUUUCCUCAUGUGACCUUCACCAUGUGCUCCUUUGUUCCAGUUCCCGCCACUAGUUAUGUUCAUCUGUUCCACCUGUGUUCAUCCUCCUGUACUCAAUCAUUGUCAUUACCCUCAUGUUUAUUUAAGUCCUUGUAUUCAGUUCCUCUAUUGUCUGGUAGUCUGGUAUGAUGUCUGUCUUCACUCCAUGUUCUUCCUGUGUUCAUCUCUAUAAAUCUUGUA
This is a non-coding RNA of Danio rerio (zebrafish), 2319 nucleotides long. NCBI's taxonomy places the organism in Eukaryota, Metazoa, Chordata, Actinopteri, Cypriniformes, Danionidae. The record is from RefSeq and is a predicted model, not a curated record.